This is a long non-coding RNA of Melanotaenia boesemani (Boeseman's rainbowfish), 2816 nucleotides long. RefSeq lists it as uncharacterized. The transcript has 3 exons. The record is from RefSeq and is a predicted model, not a curated record. NCBI's taxonomy places the organism in Eukaryota, Metazoa, Chordata, Actinopteri, Atheriniformes, Melanotaeniidae.
CAGAAGAACAAAGAUAAAGUCACUUUGUUCUGCUCUGUGUUGGGCGAUGGAAACUGUAGACACACAGUGGAGUGGCUGUAUGAGGGUAAAGAGAAAAUUUACCCUCAUACAUCUUCCUGCUCUGCCACUGUCACAUUUACACCAUCCCACUUGAAUCAGAAGUCAAAGUCAUUAAAGUGUAAUGUAACAGAUGUUUACACUAAUAAAAUGCAGCUGUUUCCGUUCAUUCCUCAGUCCUCAGGUGAGAAAACAGGUGAGAACAUCUUUAAUUAUUCAUAAUAAUAUGUUCUGGAGAAUCUAAAGUUAAAUGUCAACUUUGCCUUUCUCAACAUUUUUCAUGUCUAGAACAUGUUGUCUUAAUGCAGGCUGUAGUUAUUUCUUGUUAUUGUGUUUGCUCAGAUAAAAGAUUUACAACAUCAACACAGUCAGUUACCAUAACAACAAAAACAAAGUCAGAGACACAAAAAACAUCCACAAGAAAAACAACAUCAACAGAACAACAUCAGCGGACACACAAACCAACAACAAUCCAUCACAACAAGCAGUGUGAAUGUCAGACUGACUCUUGGCUGCUGGUGGAGAUUUUCUCUGCUUCAGUCAGUGUGUCUCAGUCUGAAACUGCCUUCUUGUUCAGAACCAGCUGCUGGUUUGAUGUUAUUUAUCUUUACAGGUUCAUCAUGGCGGUAUAUUAUCGUAUCAGUGGUUUUAGCAGCUCUGUUAACAUCUGUUGUUGCAGUCAACAUUUGGACAAAAACUAAAGGAAACAAAACAAAGACUGUAAACACGGUGUGCAGUGAUGAUGAUGAUGAAGAUACAGUGAGGUAUGAAAACAUUGGGGAGCCUUCUGUUUCUCUCAGACUCCACUGACAACAGAAAUGAGUCCACAGCUGUUAAAGUUCAUCUCAACACCUUUUGCACCUGAAGACAACAACAGAAUCACAUCGUGUUCGUGUGACCUGAGAUUUAUAUUUAAAUCCAAAUCUCUGGAUAGAAGUUCAGGUUUUAAUAUCUUCUCAUAUCAAGAGACAAAUUGUUUUUAUUUUUUUCUUUGUUUUGUAUUUUCUGCACCAUCUCUAAAAUGUUUUCCUGUUUUUUAAUAUUUAAUUUAAAUUAGAAUUCAGGAGCUGAGUGUUUUCAUGGUUUGUGAGAUUUGUUGUGAACUUUGUGUUUUAGUUUCUUAAACUAAUGUUCUGUUAAUUUCUCCCUGUUUUUCCAGGUUAGCUUUAGCUGUUAACUUCCUCUUCUCUGUGCUCAGUUUGUCCUCCGUUCUAUUUCUGAUUAACUUUAUUUUAUUCAGUAGAAUCUGUUCCUCUGUUAACUCCACUUAGUUUCCUUCUCUGUCACACACCGGAGGCCUGUACUACGAAGUGUGAUUAACAAGCCCCGGAUAUUCCUCUGUUACCAGGGUUAACUUACCCAGACAUUCAGGAUCUGGAUAAGCGGUACAACGAAGCUGGUUACUAACUCAGUAAUACAACCCAGGGUUUUCCACUAGUGACGCGUCACCACCACUUUGAGUUUGUGUUGCAGGUGCUGUCUGGUGAUCAGUGGUAGGAGCCACACCUGGACCCGGUGUGUUCUGCCACUUAGUUAAGAUCUUCACCAGCCGAAGCUCAGGCGUCUCCCAGGCUUGGGCUGGCUCUGUUAAUGCAUAAAUUCAUCAAUUAUACAAUAAUAAUUCAUCAGAGAAUAUAAACGAACAUCACUCUGAUCACUUAAUUUCACUUUAUUACCACCCAGAUGUUUCAGGCAGAGCGCUUCCUCAGUUCCUUCCUUUCCUUCAUAUUUUCCAUUCAGAUCUUUGGAGGCUCAGCACCCUGUAUGAGCACGUUUUGUGUUGGAAUAUUAAUUCCUCACUGUGACGGCAUGAGUAGUUGUUUGUUACAUAAAUUCAUGGUUCUGCAGUUCUGCCAUGUGUGAGCAUCAUUAUUAAUUUCAUUAUUUCAGAUGCGGCCCUAGUGGAGACAAAUAGACUUGGGACCAAGUCAAGAACAAGUACAAAAACAUACUUCAUAGCGGUCGGUGACAAGGAUUUAUUUCUCUCCUGAGCACUCCUCUCACGAUCCACGCAUCAACAUUGACGGGAUCUUUUAAGCAUGGGCGGCCAUUUUCCAGGAGAACUUGGUCAGGAGUUGAUGCUUUCAUACUCGUUGAUCUCUUAUCCAGAACAUAACCUGCUCCAGACCAGGUUAUCCUUUCAGCAGAAGUUACCAUGGUGAUUACCCCCAGUUAGAAGUUAACCAGCGUGGUAGUAAGUAAAACCCCGGGUUUACCCCAAAGUUACCUUGAGAGAAAAUCCAGCAUCGUAAUACAGGCCUCUGGUCUUUGUUAACAGAUUACAAGACACCUCUUCUGUGUUUCUCAUUAUCUUUUCUCUCAGUUUAAAGUCCAAUCAGGUUAUUUUGUGCUUUUCUAGGCUGUUGCCAUUUCAACUGGUUUCUGUGCAUCAUCUUCAUUGUUAUUUGGAAUUUUUUUAUACCUGUAGAUUAUUGUUAGAUUUCCUGCCAAAGCAGUUCUUUACAUUUAUUUCAUUUAUUUUUGUUGUAAAUUUGCACAUCAAAGUUGUUUGUUGAUGAUCUGCAGCCUCCUGCUGGCUGGUUCUGUGUUUGGCUCUUCCACCUUCAACCAUGACUUUAGACAAAUGUGUCCUUUAUUAAUUGGGAGAAAAAUCUUUUAUUGGCAUCUGAAUUUUAUUAAAAUCUAAAAUUCAAUUCUAAAGUGUUUACUUGUUUUUAGAUCUCUCUCACCUUCUAUAAACAUAUAAACAUAAACAUGAUCAGAUGUCAGUUUAAGAUAAUCUGUGUUCACACUGCAGG